AUUGAACGCUGGCGGCAGGCCUAACACAUGCAAGUCGAGCGGAUGAAGGGAGCUUGCUCCUGGAUUCAGCGGCGGACGGGUGAGUAAUGCCUAGGAAUCUGCCUGGUAGUGGGGGAUAACGUCCGGAAACGGGCGCUAAUACCGCAUACGUCCUGAGGGAGAAAGGGGGGGAUCUUCGGACCUCACGCUAUCAGAUGAGCCUAGGUCGGAUUAGCUAUUUGGUGGGGUAAAGGCCUACCAAGGCGACGAUCCGUAACUGGUCUGAGAGGAUGAUCGGUCACACUGGGACUGAGACACGGUCCAGACUCCUACGGGAGGCAGCAGUGGGGAAUAUUGGACAAUGGGCGAAAGCCUGAUCCAGCCAUGCCGCGUGUGUGAAGAAGGUCUUCGGAUUGUAAAGCACUUUAAGUUGGGAGGAAGGGCAGUAAGUUAAUACCUUGCUGUAUUGACGUUACCAACAGAAUAAGCACCGGCUAACUUCGUG
Molecule: ribosomal RNA, 484 nt
Filed under: uncultured bacterium
Lineage: Bacteria
Description: partial 16S ribosomal RNA
Rfam family: Bacterial small subunit ribosomal RNA
Source: RNAcentral